This 1338-nucleotide long non-coding RNA is filed under the name Zonotrichia albicollis (white-throated sparrow). Its description in RNAcentral is "lncRNA (ENSZALG00000007520.1)". The record is from RNAcentral. Lineage: Eukaryota; Metazoa; Chordata; Aves; Passeriformes; Passerellidae.
UUACUGCUCUAAUCAUUAACCAGCCUGCUGCAUUAUCUAUGAAAAUUGCUUGGUAAUAUUUAUGAAAUGUGACCUUUGUUAAUUCAAUGUUACCAAGUGUUGGAUUCAUUCUGUUUGCAAGUGGAACAGAUUUCCAAAUCACUCUGCAAUUAGUACAGUUUGAUCUAACCAGCCUAUCUCUGCAUGGGGUAGGCUUCUCCUGAAACAGCAGGAUCGCUGUCAGGAAUGAAAUGUGUUUUCCGUACGGCUGGGACACCUGCUUGCACUACAUCAUCUUUGGCAAAGGAAACAAACAUCCUCUGGGUUAAAGCAGGAGCUGGAGAGCCACAGAGACACCACCCUCAUGUUCUGCUCCUAGUGUGGAAACAGAAAGGGAGGUUGGGACAGAUUUGGGACAGGACAGGCAGCAGGUCCUCAUCCAGGACAGGAUAGUGCAGCUGCCCUGCAGACAGCACAGCUCUACCAGGCCAAGGCUUCUUCUCAGGAGGAAAGUGCUCACGUCCUCACAACAGUCCUGCCUUUCAAACUGGUGUUUUAACACUUUUCCUAUAUAUGAACUAGUAACCAUAUUAACCUACAGGACCUGAGUAAUUUGAUGUCAAAGCAGCAGCACAGGCUGCAGAAAACUCCGUCCAUGCCCUGCUGCAGUCAGUCCUCCAAGGCUGCAUGGUGCCUGCAAGCCUGGCCAGCAGUGCUUGAUGAACCUGCCCUCUUCCUUUGCCCUUGACAACGUGCCAGAGAACAGAAGAGAUGCUAAGGAAACAAAUGUUGCCUGUGAAUGACAUGGGUUUCUUGGCAUGUGGCACUCAUGGCCAGAACUCACCAGAAUCAGGAAUUCCUCCUUCCUCCAUGUCACUCUGCUGUUUCCCAAGGAAAAAGAAUACAGACAUUUGAACAAGGAAAUCCAAGCUAGAGACCUGUAUAGGCUGUUAUGAUGUGGGAACUGGGGGGAAAAGGGCACUGUAAGUACUGGUACCAUGGGCUGCAGCAUUCCCUGCUAGCAGCAGUAGGCUCCAACAGGCUGCACUCACCACCUGCCCACCUACCCUGCAGAUUCAGUUCUUUGGAUGCCCUUCCCAUUUCCCAAAAUUGUUAUUGAAUGUGGGAAAAUUUGGAAAGGGUUAAAUCAUGUGGUCUGAAGCAACUGGCAAGAAGGAGAAGAUUUGAGAGUGAACAUGUGAAACCAGGGAGAAGGGGAACAAGCAGCUGCACUGAUGGGCUGAACUCAGCCUCUCCAGGUGUCCCAGGAACACAAACAUGUGCCAGUCAACGGACAGGCAGUGAAUGUGGAACUCAGAAAUGAGGGAGCAACAGCACAGGCAUAGCUGCUCUCUGGCU